AUGUUGGGUUAAGUCCCGCAACGAGCGCAACCCUUGUCCUCAGUUACCAGCACGUUAUGGUGGGCACUCUGGGGAGACUGCCGGUGACAAACCGGAGGAAGGUGGGGACGACGUCAAGUCAUCAUGGCCCUUACGGCCAGGGCUACACACGUGCUACAAUGGUGCAUACAGACGGUUGCCAAGCCGCGAGGUGGAGCUAAUCUGAGAAAGUGCAUCGUAGUCCGGAUUGGAGUCUGCAACUCGACUCCAUGAAGUCGGAAUCGCUAGUAAUCGUGAAUCAGAAUGUCACGGUGAAUACGUUCCCGGGCCUUGCACACACCGCCCGU
RNAcentral lists this ribosomal RNA (326 nucleotides) under uncultured bacterium. RNAcentral's name for it is "bacterial SSU rRNA". It matches the Rfam family "Bacterial small subunit ribosomal RNA", at positions 1072 to 1397 of the family's 1533-position model. The record is from RNAcentral.